UGGGUUGUGGCUCAGUGGUAGAGCGCUUGCCUAGCAAGUGAGGAGCAUUGGGUUCAGUCCUCAGCACCACAU
Non-coding RNA from Ictidomys tridecemlineatus (thirteen-lined ground squirrel), 72 nucleotides. Lineage: Eukaryota; Metazoa; Chordata; Mammalia; Rodentia; Sciuridae. The record is from Rfam.